Molecule: long non-coding RNA, 1580 nt
Filed under: Salmo salar (Atlantic salmon)
Lineage: Eukaryota; Metazoa; Chordata; Actinopteri; Salmoniformes; Salmonidae
Description: lncRNA (ENSSSAG00000101455.1)
Source: RNAcentral
GUUAGUGGUAGACAUGUCUGUAUGUAGUGUUAUGAUAUGAGGGUAGGUUAGUGGUAGACAUGUCUGUAUGUAGUGUUAUGAUAUGAGGGUAGGUUAGUGGUAGACAUGUCUGUAUGUAGUGUUAUGAUAUGAGGGUAGGUUAGUGGUAGACAUGUCUGUAUGUAGUGUUAUGAUAGGGAGGGUAGGUUAGUGGUAGGCAUGUCUGUAUGUAGUGUUAUGAUAUGAGGGUAGGUUAGUGGUAGACAUGUCUGUAUGUAGUGUUAUGAUAUGAGGGUAGGUUAGUGUUAGAAUACGUCUGUAUGUAGUGUUAUGAUAUGAGGGUAGGUUAGUGUUAUGAUAUGAGGGUAGGUUAGUGGUAGACAUGACUGUAUGUAGUGUUAUGAUAUGAGGGUAGGUUAGUGUUAUGAUAUGAGGGUAGGUUAGUGUUAUGAUAUGAGGGUAGGUUAGUGGUAGACAUGUCUGUAUGUAGUGUUAUGAUAUGAGGGUAGGUUAGUGUUAGAAUACGUCUGUAUGUAGUGUUAUGAUAUGAGGGUAGGUUAGUGGUAGACAUGUCUGUAUGUAGUGUUAUGAUAUGAGGGUAGGUUAGUGGUAGACAUGUCUGUAUGUAGUGUUAUGAUAUGAGGGUAGGUUAGUGGUAGACAUGUCUGUAUGUAGUGUUAUGAUAUGAGGGUAGGAUAGUGGUAGGCAUGUCUCUAUGUAGUGUUAUGAUAUGAGGGUAGGUUAGUGGUAGACAUGUCUGUAUGUAGUGUUAUGAUAUGAGGGUAGGUUAGUGGUAGACAUUUCUGUAUGUAGUGUUAUGAUAUGAGGGUAGGUUAGUUUUAUGAUAUGAGGGUAGGUUAGUGUUAGACAUGUCUGUAUGUAGUGUUAUGAUAUGAGGGUAGGUUAGUGGUAGACAUGUAUGUAUGUUGUGUUAUGAUAUGAGGGUAGGUUAGUGUUAUGAUAUGAGGGUAGGUUAGUGGUAGACAUGACUGUAUGUAGUGUUAUGAUAUGAAGGUAGGUUAGUGGUAGACAUGUCUGUAUGUAGUGUUAUGAUAUGAGGGUAGGUUAGUGUUAUGAUAUGACGGUAGGUUAGUGUUAUGAUAUGAGGGUAGGUUAGUGUUAGACAUGUCUGUAUGUAGUGUUAUGAUAUGUGGGUAGGUUGGUGGUAGACAUGUAUGUAUGUAGUGUUAUGAUAUGAGGGUAGGUUAGUGGUUACUUUAUCCUAUCCCAGGUAUUCCUUAAAGAGGUGGGGUUUCAGGUGUCUCCGGAAGGUGGUGAUUGACUCCGCUGUCCAGGCGUCGUGAGGGAGCUUGUUCCACCAUUGGGGUGCCAGAGCAGCGAACAGUUUUGACUGGGCUGAGCGGUAACUGUGCUUCCUCAGAGGUAGGGAGGCGAGCAGGCCAGAGGUGGAUGAACGCAGUGCCCUUGUUUGGGUGUAGGGACUGAUCAGAGCCUGAAGGUACGGAGGUGCCGUUCCCCUCACAGCUCCGUAGGCAAGCACCAUGGUCUUGUAGCAGAUGCGAGCUUCAACUGGAAGCCAGUGGAGUGUGCGGAGGAGCGGGGUGACGUGAGAGAACUUGGGAAGGUUGAACACCAGACGG